Molecule: ribosomal RNA, 520 nt
Filed under: uncultured Glomus
Lineage: Eukaryota; Fungi; Glomeromycota; Glomeromycetes; Glomerales; Glomeraceae
Description: SSU rRNA
Rfam family: Eukaryotic small subunit ribosomal RNA
Source: RNAcentral
AGCAGCCGCGGUAAUUCCAGCUCCAAUAGCGUAUAUUAAAGUUGUUGCAGUUAAAAAGCUCGUAGUUGAAUUUCGGGAUCAAUAUGUUGGUCGUGCCUUGGUACGUACUAAUUUAUUGGUUUCUUCCUUCUGACGAACCAUGAUGUCAUUAAUUUGGUGUCUUGGGGAAUCAGGACUGUUACUUUGAAAAAAUUAGAGUGUUUAAAGCAGGCUCACGCUUGAAUACAUUAGCAUGGAAUAAUGAAAUAGGACGUUUGAUUCUAUUUUGUUGGUUUCUAGGAUCGACGUAAUGAUUAAUAGGGAUAGUUGGGGGCAUUAGUAUUCAAUUGUCAGAGGUGAAAUUCUUGGAUUUAUUGAAGACUAACUACUGCGAAAGCAUUUGCCAAGGAUGUUUUCAUUAAUCAAGAACGAAAGUUAGGGGAUCGAAGACGAUCAGAUACCGUCGUAGUCUUAACCNUAAACUAUGCCGACUAGGGAUCGGAUGAUGUUAAUUUUUAAUGACUCAUUCGGCGCCUUACGG